GCCUGGCUGGCUCAGUUGUGGAGCGUGCAACUCUUGAUCUCGGGGUUGUGGGUUUGAGCCCCACGUUAGGUG
Molecule: transfer RNA, 72 nt
Filed under: Felis catus (domestic cat)
Lineage: Eukaryota; Metazoa; Chordata; Mammalia; Carnivora; Felidae
Also listed under: 3 other names
Rfam family: tRNA
About the family: Transfer RNA (tRNA) molecules are approximately 80 nucleotides in length.
Source: Rfam by way of RNAcentral